This 201-nucleotide long non-coding RNA is filed under the name Brassica rapa (field mustard). Its description in RNAcentral is "long non-coding RNA (BRAP_LNC007820)". Lineage: Eukaryota; Viridiplantae; Streptophyta; Magnoliopsida; Brassicales; Brassicaceae. The record is from RNAcentral.
GAUGAACAAAAAAGUAAAAAUGCUUCUACCAUCAAAUAAAAUAAUCAAUUCUAUAACUAAAAUCAAAGCUUGAAAUUUUGAAAAUAAAAAUAUGAAACAAAACAGAAACAUAAAAGAAACAUAAAAGAAAAGUUUUUCCACUCUUCCAUAUUUAGUGUUCAUUAAAGUCAUGAUUUUUCAAUUGAAAAUUUUCCAUUAAUU